CCGCCGGCGACCGGCGCACGGGUGAGUAACACGUAUGCAACCUGGCCGUGACAGAUGGAUAACCGGGAGAAAUCCCGCCUAAUACAACAUAAUGCCGGGAGGGGACAUCCCCUGCCGGCCAAAGGGGGCGACCCCGGUCACGGAUGGGCAUGCGGCGCAUUAGGUAGUUGGUGGGGCAACGGCCCACCAAGCCGACGAUGCGUAGGGGUUCUGAGAGGAAGGUCCCCCACAUUGGAACUGAGGCACGGUCCAAACUCCUACGGAAGGCAGCAG
Molecule: ribosomal RNA, 273 nt
Filed under: uncultured bacterium
Lineage: Bacteria
Description: partial 16S ribosomal RNA
Rfam family: Bacterial small subunit ribosomal RNA
Source: RNAcentral